RNAcentral lists this ribosomal RNA (253 nucleotides) under uncultured bacterium. RNAcentral describes it as "partial 16S ribosomal RNA". It matches the Rfam family "Bacterial small subunit ribosomal RNA", at positions 524 to 776 of the family's 1533-position model. The record is from RNAcentral.
UACAGGGGGUGCAAACGUUGCUCGGAAUCAUUGGGCGUAAAGCGCACGUAGGCGGUUCGUUAUGUCGGAUGUGAAAGCCCUUGGCUUAACCGAGGAAGUGCAUCCGAAACUGGCGAGCUAGAGUACGAAAGAGGAUCGCGGAAUUCCCGGUGUAGAGGUGAAAUGCGCAGAUAUCGGGAAGAACACCCGUGGCGAAGGCGGCACUCUGGGACGGUACUGACGCUGAGACGCGAAAGCGUGGGGAGCGAACAGG